GAAUAUGACAGGCCCCAAUGAGAACUGCUAAUUCCUUAUUUCCGUGGUUCAAAUCCACGGCUUAUUCA
Molecule: transfer RNA, 68 nt
Filed under: Allobates masniger
Lineage: Eukaryota; Metazoa; Chordata; Amphibia; Anura; Aromobatidae
Description: tRNA-Ser
Source: RNAcentral